AUGACCCCAGGUCAGUCGGG
Molecule: ribosomal RNA, 20 nt
Filed under: Sporobolus natalensis
Lineage: Eukaryota; Viridiplantae; Streptophyta; Magnoliopsida; Poales; Poaceae
Description: partial 28S ribosomal RNA
Source: RNAcentral